GCUUCUCCUGGAUUUGCAAUCCAUGUUCUUAGACCCUAGGUCAUAAUAUGACAUGUUCUGUUAUUCCCAGACAAAAACUGUAUUAAGAUGGAGUUAUGGUUGGGUGUAUGCAUCAGGAAUUUAGAGUAAAAUAUGGUAGAGAUGUGGAAAUAAUCUUAAAAACAAGUGCUACAAACCAGGAAAUCCAGAAUUAAGGUUAAACUUAAAAGAAAUCCAGAUAUUUUUAUGGUAUGAAAACGCACAAUUAGUUCACCAAACAACUUUAACUCUGCCCUAUAGUUAUUUAUUUAGCGUGUGCAUAGUCGUCUAGCCAAGCAUUGGCAUCUUCAGUGGUGUGAUGCAGUUCUUCUGGGCCACUGCUGAACCUAGUCAGCAGGCAUUCAUCGACAAUGUGCGUCAUCGUCUGUCUUGCGCUGCAGCUGCACAAAGGGCUGUCACGAAAACCCCAGCGAUAUUGGUUGGCGGCACAGAGACCUUGUUCAACAGGGACCAUUGGGGAUGGGGCAGGUCAAAACCAGGCGGGCAGAUUGUGGAGUCGGCGACGAGGGACUGGUUGGGGAGUAUAACAGAUAUCCAUUCCUCUCGGGAGAGCGUUUCCACCCUAACAUCCUGGUGUGGCGGAUGAGACCAUAAUGGGCAAUGUGACGGCAAACGUGCAGCUGGUGGUUUAAAAAGAUCAUUGUGCAGUGGCAGGCUUGAGUUGGCGUGUACUUUCUCUAGUAACCUGCCAGUGGCAACCUCUUGUCUGAUAUGAGGAGGAGCAAUAUUGCUCAGAACUGGAAGCCAUGGAGUCGGACACAGGAUGCCAGAGAUGAUACACAUGGCGGCAUGUAACUGCGUAUCUACCAGUUUGGUGUGUGAUGAUUGACACCAAACUGGUGCACGGGACUGUGCCACUGAAUAUGAGGUAGCAAGAGCUGACGUCCGCAAAGUUGGAGCUUGAGCACCCCAUGACGAACAUGCCAGUUUGCUAAGAAGAUUGUUGUGCAUCUUAACUUUAGCUGCUGUCUUCUUCAGGUGCUGAGCCAUUAAGCCACAUCUUCUGUAGGAUUUGAAGAUGCUCACCUCCUUUCAGAAGAGCUCAGCGCUUCUGAGGAUCUGACUUCUUCGAUGAAAAUCUUCGGUCACUCAUUGAGAAUCAGGAAAAGCAGUACGUUGUUACUUUUGAAUAAACACUACAGACCA
Chelonia mydas (Green sea turtle) is the source of this 1185-nucleotide long non-coding RNA. RefSeq lists it as uncharacterized. The record is from RefSeq and is a predicted model, not a curated record. Lineage: Eukaryota; Metazoa; Chordata; Testudines; Cheloniidae. The transcript is spliced from 2 exons.